Clostridium sp. KLE 1755 is the source of this 46-nucleotide non-coding RNA. Lineage: Bacteria; Bacillati; Bacillota; Clostridia; Eubacteriales; Clostridiaceae. The record is from Rfam.
AUAAUGGCUUUCCAAAAAGCCACCCAAAUCAACAGUAAAGGAAUAU